RNAcentral lists this ribosomal RNA (400 nucleotides) under uncultured bacterium. Its description in RNAcentral is "partial 16S ribosomal RNA". It matches the Rfam family "Archaeal small subunit ribosomal RNA", at positions 473 to 873 of the family's 1478-position model. The record is from RNAcentral.
AUACCCGCAGCCCAAGUGGUGGUCGAUUUUAUUGAGUCUAAAACGUUCGUAGCCGGUUCAUUAAAUCCUUGGGUAAAUCGGAUGGCUUAACUAUCCGAAUUCCGGGGAGACUGGUGAACUUGGGACCGGGAGAGGCAAGAGGUACUUUUGGGGUAGGGGUAAAAUCCUGUAAUCCUAAAAGGACCACCGGUGGCGAAGGCGUCUUGCUAGAACGGAUCCGACGGUGAUGGACGAAGCCCUGGGUCGCAAACGGGAUUAGAUUCCCCGGUAGUCCAGGGUGUAAACGCUGCAGACUUGGUGUUGGGGACCCUUCGGGGGUGUUCAGUGCCGGAGAGAAGUUGUUAAGUCUGCUACUUGGGGAGUACGUCCGCAAGGAUGAAACUUAAAGGAAUUGACGGGG